UGCUCACUUCAGCAGCAAUUUACUAAAAGUGGAAUUAUGCAAAGAAGAUAAGCACGGUGCCUGCGCUAAAACGACAUGCAAAUUUGUAAAAGCACUCCAUAUUUAA
Molecule: small nuclear RNA, 106 nt
Organism: Cynocephalus volans (Philippine flying lemur)
Lineage: Eukaryota; Metazoa; Chordata; Mammalia; Dermoptera; Cynocephalidae
Source: RefSeq, a predicted model, not a curated record